AUUGAACGCUGGCGGCAUGCCUUACACAUGCAAGUCGAACGGCAGCACGGGUGCUUGCACCUGGUGGCGAGUGGUGAACGGGUGAGUAAUACAUCGGAACGUACCUUAUCGUGGGGGAUAACGCAGCGAAAGUUGCGUUAAUACCGCAUACGCCCUGAGGGGGAAAGCGGGGGACCGUAAGGCCUCGCGCGAUUAGAGCGGCCGAUGUCUGAUUAGCUUGUUGGUGAGGUAAAAGCUCACCAAGGCGAUGAUCAGUAGCUGGUCUGAGAGGACGAUCCGCCACACUUGGACUGAGACACGGCCCAGACACCUACAGGAGGCCUGUGUUGGUCAUUGUCACCAAUGGAGGCAACCCUGAGCCAGCAAUGCCGCGUCAGUCAAGAAGGCCCUCCGGUUGUAAAUCUCUUUUGUCAAGGAUGAAACAGCAGCUCUAACACAGUCUGCGAUUGACGGUACCGGGAGAAUAAGCACCGGCUACCUGCGUGCUAGCCGCCGCAGUAG
Molecule: ribosomal RNA, 501 nt
Filed under: uncultured bacterium
Lineage: Bacteria
Description: partial 16S ribosomal RNA
Rfam family: Bacterial small subunit ribosomal RNA
Source: RNAcentral